Molecule: ribosomal RNA, 247 nt
Filed under: uncultured Bdellovibrio sp.
Lineage: Bacteria; Pseudomonadati; Bdellovibrionota; Bdellovibrionia; Bdellovibrionales; Pseudobdellovibrionaceae
Description: partial 16S ribosomal RNA
Rfam family: Bacterial small subunit ribosomal RNA
Source: RNAcentral
GUUUUUCGCUUGAGGAUGAGCCCAUACGGGAUUAGCUAGUUGGUGAGGUAAUGGCUCACCAAGGCUACGAUCCCUAACUGGUCUUAGAGGAUGAUCAGUCACACUGGAACUGAGACACGGUCCAGACUCCUACGGGAGGCAGCAGUAGGGAAUAUUGCGCAAUGGAGGAAACUCUGACGCAGCGACGCCGCGUGAGUGAUGAAGGCCUUCGGGUCGUAAAGCUCUGUCGCAGGGGAAUAACACAAUG